Molecule: ribosomal RNA, 253 nt
Filed under: uncultured bacterium
Lineage: Bacteria
Description: partial 16S ribosomal RNA
Rfam family: Bacterial small subunit ribosomal RNA
Source: RNAcentral
GACAGAGGGUGCAAACGUUGCUCGGAAUUACUGGGCGUAAAGCGCGUGUAGGCGGACCAGCAAGUCGGACGUGAAAUCCCUGAGCUCAACUCAGGAACUGCAUCCGAAACUGCUGGUCUGGAGUGGUGGAGAGGGAAGCAGAAUUCCUGGUGUAGAGGUGAAAUUCGUAGAUAUCAGGAGGAACACCGGUGGCGAAGGCGGCUUCCUGGACACUUACUGACGCUGAGGAGCGAAAGCUAGGGGAGCAAACGGG